AUGAUCACUGUUAUAUUCGUGUGUCUGUGGCUUUCACUAGGUGACUCCAUGGCAGAUUCACUAGAGCCAAUUUUCACUCAUAAAGUUGUAGAUGAAGGUGAUGAUGUUACUCUGUCCUGCAGAUACAAAUUCAGCAGUGGUACAAGCAACUACCUGCAGUGGUACAGACAAUAUCCAAAAUCUAAACCUGAGUUCCUUCUUUAUAUUCAUCAAAGUGGAGCUCUAAGUCCCAACACUCCCCAAAGAAUGUCUGCUAAACUUCAUGAAGGUGAAGAUAAACUAGUCGAUCUGAUCAUCUCCUCUGCUGCUGUAUCAGACUCUGCUCUAUACUACUGUGCUCUGAGGCCCACAGUGACAGGAAAUCCAGCUGCACUGUACAAAAACUAA
Molecule: non-coding RNA, 387 nt
Organism: Tachysurus vachellii
Lineage: Eukaryota; Metazoa; Chordata; Actinopteri; Siluriformes; Bagridae
Source: the annotation of a RefSeq genome assembly